Molecule: non-coding RNA, 26 nt
Filed under: Cricetulus griseus (Chinese hamster)
Lineage: Eukaryota; Metazoa; Chordata; Mammalia; Rodentia; Cricetidae
Source: RNAcentral
GAUGGUCACAAGGAUAGAUGUUAGGC